AGAUAUAAGAGUGAUCUGGCUGUGACACCUGUCACCUCAUUGUUCACCAGGGUUGAUUUAGCUGAUCUGGCUAGCUAGGUGGGUGUCCCCUUCCUCCCUCACUACCCUAUGGGCAUCCCUCCCAAAGCUGCAUGAUUGGUCAAAGAGUACAAUACCCCUGAUAGAGGAGAACUGUUUCCUGAGUUAAGAGUAUAUGAGUAGCUGUGCUCCCUUGCUAAAACCUCCAAACAACCUCAUUUGUUUAUUUUUGCUUUUGAGAUCUCGUCCAAAAAAAUCCUUCCCUAUUCCAAUACCCCUGAGACUUCUCCUUUAUGUUUUCUUCUAGUUG
Non-coding RNA from Heterocephalus glaber (naked mole-rat), 328 nucleotides. Lineage: Eukaryota; Metazoa; Chordata; Mammalia; Rodentia; Bathyergidae. The record is from Rfam.